AACGAACGCUGGCGGCAUGCCUAACACAUGCAAGUCGAACGAGACCUUCGGGUCUAGUGGCGCACGGGUGCGUAACACGUGGGAAUCUGCCCUUUGCUUCGGAAUAACAGUUAGAAAUGACUGCUAAUACCGGAUGAUGUCGAAAGACCAAAGAUUUAUCGGCAAAGGAUGAGCCCGCGUAGGAUUAGGUAGUUGGUGGGGUAAAGGCCUACCAAGCCGACGAUCCUUAGCUGGUCUGAGAGGAUGAUCAGCCACACUGGGACUGAGACACGGCCCAGACUCCUACGGGAGGCAGCAGUGGGGAAUAUUGGACAAUGGGCGAAAGCCUGAUCCAGCAAUGCCGCGUGAGUGAUGAAGGCCUUAGGGUUGUAAAGCUCCUUUACCAGGGAUGAUAAUGACAGUACCUGGAGAAUAAGCUCCGGCUAACUCCGUG
RNAcentral lists this ribosomal RNA (433 nucleotides) under uncultured bacterium. RNAcentral's name for it is "partial 16S ribosomal RNA". It matches the Rfam family "Bacterial small subunit ribosomal RNA", at positions 29 to 507 of the family's 1533-position model. The record is from RNAcentral.